CUGCGUGCCUUUUGAAUUGAUAUGAUUUCAACGCGCGUGCGCGUGCGAGUCGCAUUCAAAGUUGUCCGAUUCAAAGACAGGAGCGCACGCGAGCAGAUGGAAACCAUGGAAACGAGGAAACCUCUUCAACUGACAAACAGCAAAAAAUAGCGUCUCUCUGUUUUUCCACUGCUUUCAGUCUAGAAAAUCAUCAUGAUGUCCUGCUACAGCCCUGUCCCAAGACAACCUCCACGGCUAUGAACUCGACUAAUGAGAUAUCAUUUGACCCUGUGAUUCUUCAGGACCAGAUCUUGAUGCCAUCCACACCCAGUACAUGACAAAGAUGCUGUGACAAAAAGCAGUCAAGCCACUGCAUGUGAUGUGGAAGCCUCUAUGAAGACAUGGCUCCGUAAUCCCUGGGACAGGGAUGGGGACGGCAAGGAA
This is a non-coding RNA of Pimephales promelas (fathead minnow), 423 nucleotides long. The record is from RefSeq and is a predicted model, not a curated record. Lineage: Eukaryota; Metazoa; Chordata; Actinopteri; Cypriniformes; Leuciscidae.